AUUGAACGCUGGCGGCAGGCCUAACACAUGCAAGUCGAACGAGUGGCGGACGGGUGAGUAAUGUCUGGGAAACUGCCUGAUGGAGGGGGAUAACUACUGGAAACGGUAGCUAAUACCGCAUACCAUCGGAUGUGCCCAGAUGGGAUUAGCUAGUAGGUGGGGUAAAGGCUCACCUAGGCGACGAUCCCUAGCUGGUCUGAGAGGAUGACAAUCCAAACUGGAAGUGAGACACGGUCCAGACUCCGACUGGAGGCAGCAGGGGGGAAUAUUGCACAAUGUGCGCAAGCCUGAUGCAGACAUGCCGCGUGUAUGAAGAAGGCCUUCGGGUUUUAAAGUACUUUCAGCGGGGAAGCGUUACCCGCAGAAGAAGAACCGGAUAACUCCGUGCCAGCCGCCGCGGUAAUAC
RNAcentral lists this ribosomal RNA (406 nucleotides) under uncultured bacterium. RNAcentral's name for it is "partial 16S ribosomal RNA". It matches the Rfam family "Bacterial small subunit ribosomal RNA", at positions 30 to 526 of the family's 1533-position model. The record is from RNAcentral.